AAGGAAUAUUGGUCAAUGGACGAAAGUCUGAACCAGCCAUCCCGCGUGCAGGAUGACUGCCCUAUGGGUUGUAAACUGCUUUUAGUAGAGAAGAAACGCAGUCAUUUAUGAUUGCCUGACGGUACCUACAGAAUAAGCACCGGCUAACUCCGUGCCAGCAGCCGCGGUAAUACGGAGGGUGCGAGCGUUAUCCGGAAUCACUGGGUUUAAAGGGUGCGUAGGCGGGGAAUUAAGUCAGUGGUGAAAUCUUGUCGCUUAACGAUAAAAUUGCCAUUGAUACUGAUUUUCUUGAAUUGGGUUGAGGUUAGCGGAAUGUGACAUGUAGCGGUGAAAUGCAUAGAUAUGUCAUGGAACACCAAUUGCGAAGGCAGCUAGCUGGGCCUUGAUUGACGCUGAGGCACGAAAGCGUGGGUAGCGAAC
This 420-nucleotide ribosomal RNA is filed under the name uncultured bacterium. RNAcentral's name for it is "bacterial SSU rRNA". It matches the Rfam family "Bacterial small subunit ribosomal RNA", at positions 356 to 773 of the family's 1533-position model. The record is from RNAcentral.